AUUGAACGCUGGCGGCAUGCUUUACACAUGCAAGUCGAGCGGCAGCGCGGGGCUUGGGGCAACUUAAGUCUUGGCGGCGAGCGGCGAACGGGUGAGUAAUGCAUCGGAACGUACCGACAAGUGGGGGAUAGCUCGGCGAAAGACCGGAUUAAUACCGCAUAUGCUGUGCGCAGGAAAGCUGGGACUCUGUAACAGGACCUGGUGCUUGUCGAGCGGCCGAUGUCCGAUUAGCUAGUUGGUGGGGUAAAGGCCUACCAAGGCGACGAUCGGUAGCUGGUCUGAGAGGAUGAUCAG
RNAcentral lists this ribosomal RNA (294 nucleotides) under uncultured bacterium. RNAcentral describes it as "partial 16S ribosomal RNA". It matches the Rfam family "Bacterial small subunit ribosomal RNA", at positions 30 to 307 of the family's 1533-position model. The record is from RNAcentral.